Long non-coding RNA from Ictalurus punctatus (channel catfish), 3467 nucleotides. The record is from Ensembl. NCBI's taxonomy places the organism in Eukaryota, Metazoa, Chordata, Actinopteri, Siluriformes, Ictaluridae.
GCAGUGUGUGUCAAAUGACCAUAAAUAUGCAAAAAAAUAAUAAAGUGGUACAGAAAAGUUAAAAAUUCACAAAAUUCCAGGAAAUAUCCAGCAGCUAUUAGAAUAAGGUAAUUUUAAACAUUCUGUAUGCUACUUAAAAUACUGUAACUGGCUCCGUUUGUCAUUUUCUGUGAGGAAAACAUGCUAAAAGAUUUAACAAAGUAUUUUUUUAAAGUAUUUCAAAUAUUACCGUGAUGUUAAAGAUAAGUCUGUCUGAGAAGUUGCCUGUGAUUUGAAAUUAUUAAUCCACUGAAAUACACGAAGUCUUGAGCAUCAACUAGAGUGAAAACAUGAGGAAGUUCCUCAGUACAGAUUUCUUUAGAAAAACACGUCCAGUAAGUCGACGCCCACACGGAACAUGUAUUAAAAGUGCUGAUUCUCCAGACAAUUGAAUCACUCGCACCCCACCGGAGGACAAGAGCCGUUUGGAAACAGACAACAGUGAGUGUUGCAGAAUGGCAGAAUUUGAAGAGAUUAUUAAAGCGGUUGAAGAUGGGAUAGAAGAAGCGGAAGAAGCAUCUGAGGGACUAUCAGGAGAAGCACGAGAGGAAAUUGAAGAAGUAAUAGCCGAAACCCGCACGGCGAUUGAAGAGCUUUCUACAACUCAGAAUAAACUCCAAGAGUUCCUUAAGUCCAUCGGAAAUUGUGUAGCUAAAGUGGCCAAGUUUACUGCUGAAACUGUAGCGGUUGGCGCCAUCCUGUGGGGGGUAAAUGUUGCUUUAAACAAGCUGCUUCCACAACAUGACCAAAAAGAAACCAAGACACGCAUGCGUAAUGUAAUAAAGGCCUUGAGUGACGUGAUCAACACUGAAGCCACCAUAAACAAGAAGGUACUGGAAUGGAUGGAGGUCCACAAGGACGAUACCAUCACUCUGGAUGGAUAUGAAGUGUCUUUGGAAGCCAUUCUGACAAAAUACAUUAAACCAUUAGUUGAGGCAUCCGAAAAAGCCGAAACCAUCGCUGAAUCCCUCCAAGAAAAGGUUGAUGGGAAAACUCAGUUUAAAUGUCCAAGCGCAGAUGUCAUGAGAAAAUUCAUGGAUGUGACCGAUGUGUACAUCAAGGCCUUCACCGAUCUCAUCGCGUUCAUUAUGAAAAAUGUAGACCAUGUUGUAGAGCUGCAGAGCUUUCCGGUAAAAGAGGGAGAUGUUAUUGACCUAGCAGCAAAGCUGAAUGCUGCCAAGGACUUACCUCUGUGGUAAAAUAGAUUAUGAUUUGAUAACAUUACUCAGAAAUGGCAGAACAAGUUGUGUGUGUUUUUCUAGUUUGGAUAAGUUUGGCUAAUUCAACACUUUUAUCUACUGAAUUUAUUGAAUAUAGCACGUGGAACAAGAUCAAAUCAAAUGAACAUUUUAAUGGCAAUGCUAUCUUGUUUUACUUUUAAUUCAUUCGGCUUAUUUUCUUUAAACGUAUUUGCAUUUUUAUAACAAUUAUAUUUUUAAAAUGAAUCAUUUCUGAUUAAGAUUCAUGUAUUUCCUAUAACUUACUCAUAUGAAAAUAUUUUUAUGCCAGUGAUGUCUUAAUCAGUUAACUCUUAGAUUUUGGAUGAGUUUCAUCACCAGACUUUCUAAACCAGUCUCAUUAUGAAUCAGUGAACGUUGGUCAAUGUACAUUUCCUGUUUCAAAAUAUUGUCAUCAAAAGAUCUGCAACAUGAAUCUCCAUUUUUUUUUCUCCACUUGUAUCUGCAUUCAUCAUCUUCAUUAAAAGAAGUUCAUAAACUAUUUUGUCUUCAUUGAAUGAAAUCUUUUAAAGUUCUACAUUAGUGAUAUUAGGGAUUUCAAAACACCAAAUAAAUGAAGGAAUUUUAAUGAAAGAAUGUGACAAUAAUACACAAUGUAAAACAAGGGUUAGAACUGCAAAAGAACCAGGAUAGCGAAAAACAAGAAACGCGAAACCAAAAAUGAGAACGACGAGCACCUUUAGGAAAACUUGGAACGCAAAUCAGUUAAAUAAAAUAAUAAACAAAAUCAAAAAUAAUAAUAAUCAAAACAAACCCACUCAUGGGAAGCAGCUCUCGCCAUAUUGGAAAACCACAGCACACACCGAGAGGUCAUUUGUGAUGAACAUUUCUGAAUCUCUGAAGAUACUAAGCUAGCUUAGAGUUAGUUUCUUCUUCAUUCAGUAAGUGGUGUGUAUAUCUCAGCGUUCUCCAUUGCUCGGUUUGUCCCUCAGCAUUGUCUCCUUUGAAUAUCUCACAUUUCCUCACUGUCUAGUCAUCUAUCAAUACUGCAGCCACAUUCCAUUAGCAUGGAUGAGCGAUUUUUGUGUCGUUAACGGACCCCUCUGGCCACGACUGGCCUCAUCUACUGUGCACAUUUCCUCCUCUAACACGGAUUCUUCCCACGUUACAAAUAAUUCAGCCAGGUCAUGUUUACACAUGAUUGAAUGCAGGAUAUGAGAGUGAGCCUGGCAAACAUUCAUUACCAUGUCCUAUAGUACAAAUUAGACUUCAUGGGAGCCAUCCAAUCCUCAGACCAGCUGUUUAUCUGCCACAGAGGAAAGACACAAUGGCCUCCUUUACCUAUGUAGCAGUUGGCCCACUGGGUGGAGGACAUUAUCACCAAGCUCCCAUCGUGACAUACCAGAACAUGAGGAGUAUCUGCACCCACGGUCUCAUCUCAACAUCUUAUGCUUCUGUGGAAUUCUGUGGUUACCGUUACCCCUCCCAUUUUUCUUCACAUUAUUGUUAUCUAUUACCCACCUGGCUCUCUAGGAAACCUCAGUGAAGAGCUGGACAUUCUCCUUAGUCUCUUUUCUACACCUUGCUGUGCUCCUCUCAUAGCGCCCUCUUCUGUUAACAUUUUCAAUGCUUCGUCUUUCUGAAUUCGUUAGUAAGUUUGGCGAGUGUUGUGUGUGAUGCGCUCGCAAUGUUUCCUGCGAAAGUCCAUCGCAUCCUUGUGACAGUUUCCCGAUCCAGCCACGAGAACGAUUUCAAGAUGUUCUUUUGUCAAAGUGACUGAAAAAAAAAAAAUAUUAUAAACUAAGUAUGAAAAAUUUUGGAAGACAUUUUGCUGAAAAGUAUCAAUUUCUCCUAUGCAUGGAGACUUUUGGGACACGCUGUAUAACCCAUUAACGUUGGCAUCAUCUUGAAGUGGUAUUCCGUAAAUAAAUUUUCUUAAAGAUAAAAAACCCCAUGUGACAGGAAAGACAAGUGCAUGCGAAUCAGCAUGAACGUGUAUUCUUCGUAAGGCCUCUUAAAUAAGACUUUUUAACCUGUAUAUCUUUGUAGGACACUGUAUCUAAAGAGUGCCUUUUCAAAUACAAAUUAUUUGAUGAUCAGUUGAUCAUUUAAUUUGACUCCUUGAAGUCAUACAAUUUUGUACAUGUCUAACAUCCUGGCUUCCUUUACAAAAAUACUUACUAUGAAAAACAUUUUUAUAAAAUGAUAUCAGAAAAGAAUUGUCUGAAAUAAAUAUAUAUAUAUAUAUAU